GACGAACGCUGGCGGCGUGCUUAACACAUGCAAGUCGAACGGAAAGGCCCUGCUUUUGUGGGGUUCUCGAGUGGCGAACGGGUGAGUAACACGUGAGUAACCUGCCCUUGACUUUGGGAUAACUUCAGGAAACUGGGGCUAAUACCGGAUAGGAUCUCCUGCUGCAUGGUGGGGGUUGGAAAGUUUCGGCGGUUGGGGAUGGACUCGCGGCUUAUCAGCUUGUUGGUGGGGUAGUGGCUUACCAAGGCUUUGACGGGUAGCCGGCCUGAGAGGGUGACCGGCCACAUUGGGACUGAGAUACGGACCAGACUCCUACGGGAGGCAGCAGUGGGGAAUAUUGCAGAAUGGGCGGAAGUCUGAUGCAGCGACGCCGCGUGCGGGAUGACCGCCUUCGGGUUGUAAACCGCUUUCGCCUGUGACGAAGCGUGAGUGACGGUAAUGGGUAAAGAAGCACCGGCUAACUACGUG
This 468-nucleotide ribosomal RNA is filed under the name uncultured bacterium. Its description in RNAcentral is "partial 16S ribosomal RNA". It matches the Rfam family "Bacterial small subunit ribosomal RNA", at positions 28 to 507 of the family's 1533-position model. The record is from RNAcentral.